AUUAACGUUCGGGUAAUCGCUGUAAUGCUAUUUAGGGCAUUGCAGAGGAAAGUCCAUGCUCGCACGGUGCUGAGAUGCCCGUAGUGUUCGUGCCUGGCGAAAAAAUAAGCCAGGGCAGCCUGGGAAAGGCUGACGGCAGGAAAAAUGCCUACGUCCUUUUUAGGAUAUGGCAAAGUAUCCUUGAAAGUGCCACAGUGACGAAGUCUCACUAGAAAUGGUGAGAGUGGAACGCGGUAAACCCCUCGAGCGAGAAACCCAAACUUGGUAGGGGAACUUUCUCAAAGGAACCAAACGGAGAGAAGGACAGAGAAUUCUGUAGAUAGAUGAUUACCACCUGAGUACGAGGCAUUUGCCGUUUGCAGUACGAUGGAACAAAACAUGGCUUACAGAACGUUAAAUCCG
Molecule: RNase P RNA, 402 nt
Filed under: Bacillus safensis
Lineage: Bacteria; Bacillati; Bacillota; Bacilli; Caryophanales; Bacillaceae
Description: bacterial RNase P
Rfam family: Bacterial RNase P class B
About the family: Ribonuclease P (RNase P) is a ubiquitous endoribonuclease, found in archaea, bacteria and eukarya as well as chloroplasts and mitochondria. Its best characterised activity is the generation of mature 5'-ends of tRNAs by cleaving the 5'-leader elements of precursor-tRNAs. Cellular RNase Ps are ribonucleoproteins.
Source: RNAcentral